UUUACUGGGAGAUAGCCCUCCGAAAGGAGGAUUAAUAUCCCAUAAUAAACGAGGUGGCAUCACUUUGUUUUGAAAGCUCCGGCGGUAAAGGAUGGCCAUGCGCACGAUUAGCUAGUUGGUGAGGUAACGGCUCACCAAGGCUACGAUCGUUAGGGGGCCUGAGAGGGUUAUCCCCCACACUGGUACUGAGACACGGACCAGACUCCUACGGGAGGCAGCAGUGAGGAAUAUUGCGCAAUGGAGGCAACUCUGACGCAGCCAUGCCGCGUGCAGGAAGAAGGCGCUACGCGUUGUAAACUGCUUUUAACCGGGAAGAAACCCCUCUACGUGUGGAGGGUUGACGGUACCGGAGGAAUAAGCACCGGCUAACUUCGUGCCAGCAGCCGCGGUAAUACGAAGGGUGCAAGCGUUAUCCGGAUUCAUUGGGUUUAAAGGGUGCGUAGGCGGGGCGUUAAGUCAGUGGUGAAAUCCUGCAGCUCAACUGUAGACUUGCCAUUGAUACUGGCGCUCUUGAGUGCGCUUGAAGUAAGCGGAAUGUGCCGUGUAGCGGUGAAAUGCUUAGAUAUGGCACAGAACACCAAUUGCGAAGGCAGCUUACUAACGCGAUACUGACGCUGAGCACGAAAGCGUGGGGAUCGAACAGGAUUAGAUACCCUGGUAGUCCACGCCGUAAACGAUGAUCACUCGUCAUUGGCGAUAUACGGUCAGUGACCUAGCGAAAGCGUUAAGUGAUCY
Molecule: ribosomal RNA, 735 nt
Filed under: uncultured bacterium
Lineage: Bacteria
Description: bacterial SSU rRNA
Rfam family: Bacterial small subunit ribosomal RNA
Source: RNAcentral